GCCGUAGUCGCCUAGAGGAUGGGCAUUGACCUUCUAAGUCAAUUUACGUGGGUUCGAAUCCUACCUACGGCG
RNAcentral lists this transfer RNA (72 nucleotides) under Nephroselmis olivacea. RNAcentral's name for it is "tRNA-Arg". It matches the Rfam family "tRNA". From Rfam's summary of the family: Transfer RNA (tRNA) molecules are approximately 80 nucleotides in length. Their secondary structure includes four short double-helical elements and three loops (D, anti-codon, and T loops). Lineage: Eukaryota; Viridiplantae; Chlorophyta; Nephroselmidophyceae; Nephroselmidales; Nephroselmidaceae. The record is from RNAcentral.